AGGAGUAGGGGGUGAUGAAGGUGUAGGAUUGAUUUAGGAGUAGGGGUUGAUGAAGGUGUAGGAUUGAUUCAGGAGUAGGGUGUGAUGAAGGUGUAGGAUUGAUUUAGGAGUAGGGGUUGAUGAAGGUGUAGGAUUGAUUCAGGAGUAGGGGGUGAUGAUGAUGUCGGAUUGAUUUAGGAGUAGGGGUUGAUGAAGGUGUAGGAUUGAUUCAGGAGUAUGGGUUGAUGAAGGUGUAGGAUUGAUUCAGGAGUAGGGGGCGAUGAAGGUGUAGGAUUGAUUCAGGAGUAGGGGGUGAUGAUGAUGUAGGAUUGAUUUAGGAGUAGGGGGCGAUGAAGGUGUAAGAUUGAUUCAGGAGUAUGGAGUGAUGAAGGUGUAGGACUGAUUUAGGAGUAGGGGUAAUGAAGGUG
Molecule: long non-coding RNA, 407 nt
Organism: Pecten maximus
Lineage: Eukaryota; Metazoa; Mollusca; Bivalvia; Pectinida; Pectinidae
Exons: 2
Source: RefSeq, a predicted model, not a curated record